This 555-nucleotide ribosomal RNA is filed under the name Carukia barnesi. Its description in RNAcentral is "partial 16S ribosomal RNA". It matches the Rfam family "Bacterial large subunit ribosomal RNA", at positions 1809 to 2538 of the family's 2925-position model. The record is from RNAcentral. Lineage: Eukaryota; Metazoa; Cnidaria; Cubozoa; Carybdeida; Carukiidae.
CCAAACAUAGCCAACUGCUAAAAUAAUUAUUGUAUAGUUGGUGAGGCCUGCUCACUGAUUCUUAAUAAUAGAUAAUAAGAAUUCAAGAGCCGCGGUAACUCUGACCGUGCUAAGGUAGCAUAAUCACUCGUCAUUUAAUUGAUGACUGGAAUGAAGGGCUAAACGAGUUUUUCUCUGUCUCAGUUGUAGAAUAAGUGAAAUUAGUUGAUUUGUCAAGAACCAAAUCAGGCUUGAUAAGACGAGAAGACCCCGUUGAGCUUUACUUAACCUUUUCUUAUAAGAAAAUCCAGAGAAAUAGGAUAGUCAGAGAAGAAAGGGGCUAGUUUGGUUGGGGCGACCACCCAAAUAGACGAAACUUGGGUAAGCAAAGGUUCUAUUUAAUGUAGGAAACUUUACUAGUAGACUGAUAUGUCAGCUAGUUAGAGCUAUUUCUAAGCCAUAGGGACCCGCCAUCUUGUGGUGGCGAUAAUAGAUAAAAGUUACCACGGGGAUAACAGGGUUAUCUAGUCCUAGAGUUCAUAUCGAAGACUGGGUUUGCCACCUCGAUGUUGAAUU